CCCCCUCAGUAAUAAUAUGUAAUAUAACUCAGUAUGCCCCAAUACAGAUAAGACCCACCCUGCGAUAUACCAGACCUCCUUCCAAGACAUUUGUUUAAUAACUUAUUCAAAUAAACCCAAAAUUGUAUACACUCGAUAAGAGCCCCCAAACCUCCAAAACAAAAGACUUCCUGUCUUUCUCCCAAUAACCAAAGCCCCCUUUGUUUGAUAAGACCCUUUCCCAGAACAGCCCCGGUGGUAUACAUGUGUAAUUAGCUAAAUGACUUUGAGAGGGAACUUGUCUUUGUCCCUUUGACAUAACCUACGCUGAUAUUACUUGUAUCCUCCUUUAUAAAGAUUAGAUGUUUUGGCUUUCUGAGAGGAGAAGAGUUCAGACCAUCACCAAGCUAGUACCUAUACUUUGUCUGCUCAAGCUGCUUUAGUCAAAUUUUACAAGGAAUUGCUGAUUCGUAAACUGAUACAGUCAAGAUGGCACCAAAGAAAGUUAGAGGCCCAAGACGUGUAAGGGUUUGUCCCAAAGAAGGUUGUGGGAUAAGGACCCAGCAGUUGCCGAGGCAUCUGAUGAAUAUCCAUCGCAUGGACAAUGAAAAGGCUAACGCACUUUCCACUGCAUUAUUUCAUCAAGACGGUCAGGGUAGAGGCAGAAACGAUGGUGAUGAUGUAGACAAGGUUAGGUGUUUUUUCCCCCAUUGCAAUGCCAAGGUUGUUAACCUGCACAGGCACAUUGUUGGAGUUCAUGGCAAAAGCAAGAAGAUAACAUCCAGAAUGAUCCGAGAUAAAAAGUAUGGAAUUGAAAUUCCAAAUGGAAUGUUUGGUGAGUAACAAUCUAAACUUUACAUUUAUACCUGAUGUUGGUCAAAUCAAUUGUGGGCAGUCGUGACAAUUUAAACCAAAUCAAUAGCAUUAUCUUUAGAGGACUAUGUGAGUC
Long non-coding RNA from Strongylocentrotus purpuratus (purple sea urchin), 928 nucleotides. RefSeq lists it as uncharacterized. The transcript has 3 exons. The record is from RefSeq and is a predicted model, not a curated record. Lineage: Eukaryota; Metazoa; Echinodermata; Echinoidea; Camarodonta; Strongylocentrotidae.